Molecule: ribosomal RNA, 243 nt
Filed under: uncultured bacterium
Lineage: Bacteria
Description: partial 16S ribosomal RNA
Rfam family: Bacterial small subunit ribosomal RNA
Source: RNAcentral
AGGACUAGAUACCCUGGUAGUCCACGCCGUAAACGAUGUCUACUAGCCGUUGGGACUCUUGAAGUCUUAGUGGCGCAGCUAACGCACUAAGUAGACCGCCUGGGGAGUACGGCCGCAAGGUUAAAACUCAAAUGAAUUGACGGGGGCCCGCACAAGCGGUGGAGCAUGUGGUUUAAUUCGACGCAACGCGAAGAACCUUACCUGGCCUUGACAUGCAGAGAACUUUCCAGAGAUGGAUUGGUG